UGCGUAGGCGGCGCGGUAAGUCGGGUGUGAAAUCUCGGGGCUUAACUCCGAAACUGCAUUCGAUACUGCCGUGCUUGAGGACUGGAGAGGAGACUGGAAUUUACGGUGUAGCGGUGAAAUGCGUAGAUAUCGUAAGGAAGACCAGUGGCGAAGGCGGGUCUCUGGACAGUUCCUGACGCUGAGGCACGAAGGCCGAGGGGAGACGAAACG
RNAcentral lists this ribosomal RNA (210 nucleotides) under uncultured bacterium. RNAcentral's name for it is "partial 16S ribosomal RNA". It matches the Rfam family "Bacterial small subunit ribosomal RNA", at positions 568 to 775 of the family's 1533-position model. The record is from RNAcentral.